Molecule: ribosomal RNA, 465 nt
Filed under: Vreelandella stevensii
Lineage: Bacteria; Pseudomonadati; Pseudomonadota; Gammaproteobacteria; Oceanospirillales; Halomonadaceae
Description: partial 16S ribosomal RNA
Rfam family: Bacterial small subunit ribosomal RNA
Source: RNAcentral
CCUACGGGUGGCUGCAGUGGGGAAUAUUGGACAAUGGGCGAAAGCCUGAUCCAGCCAUGCCGCGUGUGUGAAGAAGGCCUUCGGGUUGUAAAGCACUUUCAGUGGGGAAGAAAGCCUUGGGGCUAAUACCCUCGAGGAAGGACAUCACCCACAGAAGAAGCACCGGCUAACUCCGUGCCAGCAGCCGCGGUAAUACGGAGGGUGCGAGCGUUAAUCGGAAUUACUGGGCGUAAAGCGCGCGUAGGCGGUCUGUUAAGCCGGUUGUGAAAGCCCCGGGCUCAACCUGGGAACGGCAUCCGGAACUGUCAGGCUAGAGUGCAGGAGAGGAACGUAGAAUUCCCGGGGUAGCGGUGAAAUGCGUAGAGAUCGGGAGGAAUACCAGUGGCGAAGGCGGCCUUCUGGACUGACACUGACGCUGAGGUGCGAAAGCGUGGGUAGCAAACAGGAUUAGAUACCCCUGUAGUC